GUGGCGAACGGGUGAGUAACACGUGAGUAACCUGCCCUUGACUCUGGGAUAACUGCUAGAAAUGGUAGCUAAUACCGGAUACGACCCUCGGCCGCAUGGUCAGGGGGUGGAAAGAAUUUUGGUCAAGGAUGGACUCGCGGCCUAUCAGGUAGUUGGUGAGGUAAUGGCUCACCAAGCCUACGACGGGUAGCCGGCCUGAGAGGGUGACCGGCCACACUGGGACUGAGACACGGCCCAGACUCCUACGGGAGGCAGCAGUGGGGAAUAUUGCACAAUGGGCGAAAGCCUGAUGCAGCAACGCCGCGUGAGGGACGACGGCCUUCGGGUUGUAAACCUCUUUUAGUAGGGAAGAAGCGAAAGUGACGGUACCUGCAGAAAAAGCACCGGCUAACUACGUGCCAGCAGCCGCGGUAAUACGUAGGGUGCAAGCGUUGUCCGGAAUUAUUGGGCGUAAAGAGCUCGUAGGCGGUUUGUCGCGUCUGCUGUGAAAUCCGGAGGCUCAACCUCCGGCCUGCAGUGGGUACGGGCAGACUAGAGUGCGGUAGGGGAGAUUGGAAUUCCUGGUGUAGCGGUGGAAUGCGCAGAUAUCAGGAGGAACACCAAUGGCGAAGGCAGAUCUCUGGGCCGUAACUGACGCUGAGGAGCGAAAGCAUGGGGAGCGAACAGGA
This 668-nucleotide ribosomal RNA is filed under the name uncultured bacterium. RNAcentral's name for it is "bacterial SSU rRNA". It matches the Rfam family "Bacterial small subunit ribosomal RNA", at positions 95 to 777 of the family's 1533-position model. The record is from RNAcentral.